This 776-nucleotide ribosomal RNA is filed under the name uncultured Neocallimastigales. RNAcentral's name for it is "partial large subunit ribosomal RNA". It matches the Rfam family "Eukaryotic large subunit ribosomal RNA", at positions 22 to 634 of the family's 3401-position model. Lineage: Eukaryota; Fungi; Neocallimastigomycota; Neocallimastigomycetes; Neocallimastigales. The record is from RNAcentral.
GUACACGCUGUGACUAGCAUAUCAAUAAGCGGAGGAAAAGAAACUAACUAGGAUUCCCUCAGUAACGGCGAGUGAAGCGGGAAGAGCUCAAAUUUGAAAUCUUCAAGGUUCUACCUUGACGAAUUGUAGUUUAAAGAAGUGUUUUCUGUUGGAGUUUUGGUAAAAGUUCUUUGGAAUAGGACAUCAUAGAGGGUGAGAAUCCCGUAUUUGACCAUUAUUUCCAGCUUUGUGAUACACUUUCAAAGAGUCGGAUUGUUUGGGAAUGCAGUCCAAAAUGGGUGGUAAAUUUCAUCUAAAGCUAAGUACUGGCGAGAGACCGAUAGCGAACAAGUACCGUGAGGGAAAGAUGAAAAGAACUUUGAAAAGAGAGUUAAACAGUACGUGAAAUUGUCAAAAGGGAAGCGUUUGACACCAGUGUUGUUUUCUCGAAAAUCAAUUAAAAAGAACUUGAUUUUGUGUUGUAUUGACCUUAUAAGCUUUCUGCACUCUUUUCCUGUUAUUUUUAAUGCACUUUUCGUUUAACAAGUCAACAUCAGUUUCUUUUGUUGUAAAAAGGUCAUUGGAAGGUGGCUUUCUUUUCGGAGAAAGUGUUUAUAGCCUUUGACUCCUGCAAUCGGAGAGACUGAGGUCUGCAGCGUAGAUCCUUUUUUGGGUUAGAUUCAUCUGUGCUAAGUUAUAGCUUUUUAUAGACAACAUGUUGACUAUAUUUAGUCUUGUAACUUACUCGCUUAUGUAAUUUUACCUACGCUUAGGAUGUUGAACUACUGAGACAUAGA